AGAGUUUGAUCCUGGCUCAGGAUUAACGCUAGCGGCAGGCCUAAUACAUGCAAGUCGAACGGUAAUCACGCUUUCGGGCGUGAACGAGUGGCGGACGGGUGCGUAACGCGUAUGCAACUUACCCUGUACCGGGGGAUAGCCCGGAGAAAUCCGGAUUAAUACCCCAUAAAGUAUAAAUAGGGCAUCCUAUUAAUAUUAAAGAUUUAUUGGUACGGGAUGGGCAUGCGUCUGAUUAGCUAGUUGGUACGGUAAUGGCGUACCAAGGCGACGAUCAGUAGGGGUUCUGAGAGGAAGAUCCCCCACACUGGCACUGAGAUACGGGCCAGACUCCUACGGGAGGCAGCAGUAGGGAAUAUUGGUCAAUGGGCGCAAGCCUGAACCAGCCAUGCCGCGUGCAGGAAGACGGCCUUCUGGGUGGUAAACUGCUUUUAUUAGGGAACAAAGAGGCACUGCGGUGCAAGUUGCGUGUACCUAAUGAAUAAGCACCGGCUAACUCCGUGCCAGCAGCCGCGGUAAUACGGAGGGUGCAAGCGUUGUCCGGAUUUAUUGGGUUUAAAGAGUGCGUAGGCGGUUAGAUAAGUCAGUGGUGAAAUACUACAGCUCAACUGUAGAGGUGCCAUUGAAACUGUCUGACUUGAGUGCAGAUGAGGUAAGCGGAAUUUAUGGUGUAGCGGUGAAAUGCAUAGAUA
This 689-nucleotide ribosomal RNA is filed under the name uncultured deep-sea bacterium. RNAcentral describes it as "bacterial SSU rRNA". It matches the Rfam family "Bacterial small subunit ribosomal RNA", at positions 8 to 696 of the family's 1533-position model. The record is from RNAcentral.